UAGGGAAUCUUCCGCAAUGGACGCAAGUCUGACGGAGCAACGCCGCAUGAGUGAAGAAGGAUUUCGGUUCGUAAAACUCUGUUGUUAGAGAAGAACAGCGCAUAGAGUAACUGUUAUGCGUGUGACGGUAUCUAACCAGAAAGCCACGGCUAACUACGUGCCAGCAGCCGCGGUAAUACGUAGGUGGCAAGCGUUGUCCGGAUUUAUUGGGCGUAAAGCGAGCGCAGGCGGUCAAUUAAGUCUGAUGUGAAAGCCCCCGGCUCAACCGGGGAGGGUCAUUGGAAACUGGUUGACUUGAGUGCAGAAGAGGAGAGUGGAAUUCCAUGUGUAGCGGUGAAAUGCGUAGAUAUAUGGAGGAACACCAGUGGCGAAGGCGACUCUCUGGUCUGUAACUGACGCUGAGGCUCGAAAGCGUGGGUAGCAAACAGG
RNAcentral lists this ribosomal RNA (429 nucleotides) under Bacteroidota bacterium. Its description in RNAcentral is "Bacteroidetes bacterium partial 16S ribosomal RNA". It matches the Rfam family "Bacterial small subunit ribosomal RNA", at positions 355 to 776 of the family's 1533-position model. Lineage: Bacteria; Pseudomonadati; Bacteroidota. The record is from RNAcentral.